CUGAACUAUGCUGUUAUAUCCCUGAUCCCUAAGGUAAAGGGUGCUGAUGUCAUUUCCCAAUUCCGGCCUAUAGCGUUGAUUAACAACUUUGCCAAGUUCCCUUCCAAAGGCUUUGCGAACCGGUUGUCUCCGGUAGCUCACAGAGUUAUUAGUCCCUUCCAGUCUGCUUUUAUCAAAGGGCGUUUUAUUUUAGAUGGUAUUCUCUCCCUUCAUGAGAUUGUUCAUGACCUUCAUGUGCGGAAAUCCAAAGCCAUUAUCCUCAAGCUAGACUUCGAAAAAGCGUAUGACUCGGUUAGCUGGCCUUUUCUCAGGCAGAUUCUUCUUGCCAAAGGGUUCGACGGUGCUUAUGUUCACCGUAUCAUGCAGUUGGUCUCGGGUGGCCACACUGCAGUUGCCGUAAAUGGUGCUAUUAGCAACUUCUUUGCGAAUGGGAGGGGCCUCCGCCAAGGGGAUCCGGCCUCCCCUGUUCUUUUCAACUUUGUGGCUGAUGCCUUC
Molecule: ribosomal RNA, 495 nt
Filed under: Triticum aestivum (bread wheat)
Lineage: Eukaryota; Viridiplantae; Streptophyta; Magnoliopsida; Poales; Poaceae
Description: partial small subunit ribosomal RNA
Source: RNAcentral